AUGGAGCUUCAAACACUUAAAUUAACUAUGUAAAAUUAUAAUCCCACGGGAGAAAUCAUUUAUACAAUAUUCCUAAUUUAACUGUUUUUGGUUGGGGUGACCGAGGGGGAAAGAAAAUCCCCCCCAUCGAUUGAGUACUCAGUACUUAAAAGUUAGAACGACAGUUCUAAUCAAUAAAACAUUUACCGAAAAAUGACCCAGAAUUUUUUCUGAUCAAUGAACCA
Molecule: ribosomal RNA, 224 nt
Filed under: Squalus acanthias (spiny dogfish)
Lineage: Eukaryota; Metazoa; Chordata; Chondrichthyes; Squaliformes; Squalidae
Description: partial 16S ribosomal RNA
Source: RNAcentral